RNAcentral lists this long non-coding RNA (230 nucleotides) under Brassica napus (rape). Its description in RNAcentral is "long non-coding RNA (BNAP_LNC026487)". The record is from RNAcentral. Lineage: Eukaryota; Viridiplantae; Streptophyta; Magnoliopsida; Brassicales; Brassicaceae.
UCAAAAAAAAAUAUCAUGAUUUUAAAAUUAAAAAGUAAAAAAAAAGUACUAGAUGCAAAAAAAAAAUAUUUUUAACGCCGUCAGCAAAACACUAAACCCUAAACGCUAAAUCCAAAACCCUAAACCCUUGGGUAAACCGUAAACCCUUAUUUAAUGUUUUUGAUUUAGGGUUUAGGAUUUAUCUAAGGUCUAUGGUUUACUUAAGGGUUUAAGGUUUAUUCAAGGGUUUA